UACGUAGGGUGCGAGCGUUGUCCGGAAUUAUUGGGCGUAAAGGGCUCGUAGGCGGUUUGUCGCGUCGGGAGUGAAAUCCACUGGCUUAACUGGUGGCUUGCUUUCGAUACGGGCAGACUGGAGGUAUGCAGGGGAGAACGGAAUUCCUGGUGUAGCGGUGAAAUGCGUAGAUAUCUGGAGGAACACCGGUGGCGAAGGCGGCAUCCUGGACCAACACUGACGCUGAGUGAGCGAAAGCCAGGGGAGCAAACGGG
RNAcentral lists this ribosomal RNA (254 nucleotides) under uncultured bacterium. RNAcentral's name for it is "partial 16S ribosomal RNA". It matches the Rfam family "Bacterial small subunit ribosomal RNA", at positions 524 to 776 of the family's 1533-position model. The record is from RNAcentral.